ACGCUCGACACCUACUGGAGGCAGCAGUGGGGAAUAUUGCGCAAUGGGGGAAACCCUGAUGCAGCGACGCCGCGUGAGCGAAGAAGUAUUUCGGUAUGUAAAGCUCUAUCAGCAGGGAAGAAACUGACGGUACCUGACUAAGAAGCACCGGCUAAAUACGUGCCAGCAGCCGCGGUAAUCUGAGGCGGCUGGCAAGGCU
Molecule: ribosomal RNA, 199 nt
Filed under: uncultured bacterium
Lineage: Bacteria
Description: partial 16S ribosomal RNA
Rfam family: Bacterial small subunit ribosomal RNA
Source: RNAcentral